GAGUUUGAUUCUGGCUCAGGAUGAACGCUAGCUACAGGCUUAACACAUGCAAGUCGAGGGGCAUCAUGAGGUCAGCUUGCUGACUUUGAUGGCGACCGGCGCACGGGUGCGUAACGCGUAUCCAAUCUACCGCAUACUCGGGGAUAGCCUUGCGAAAGUAAGAUUAAUACCCGAUGUUGUUUAUUAUUCGCAUGAAUGAUAAACCAAAGAAUUUCGGUAUGCGAUGAGGAUGCGUCCCAUUAGGUAGUUGGUGAGGUAACGGCUCACCAAGCCUCCGAUGGGUAGGGGUUCUGAGAGGAAGAUCCCCCACACUGGAACUGAGACACGGUCCAGACUCCUACGGGAGGCAGCAGUGAGGAAUAUUGGUCAAUGGACGAGAGUCUGAACCAGCCAAGUAGCGUGCAGGAAGACUGCCCUCUGGGUUGUAAACUGCUUUUAUACGGGGGUAAAAAACGCCACGUGUGGUGUNGGCAAGACCGAAGAAAAGGACC
Molecule: ribosomal RNA, 491 nt
Filed under: Prevotella sp. canine oral taxon 282
Lineage: Bacteria; Pseudomonadati; Bacteroidota; Bacteroidia; Bacteroidales; Prevotellaceae
Description: bacterial SSU rRNA
Rfam family: Bacterial small subunit ribosomal RNA
Source: RNAcentral